Molecule: non-coding RNA, 228 nt
Organism: Pelobates cultripes (western spadefoot toad)
Lineage: Eukaryota; Metazoa; Chordata; Amphibia; Anura; Pelobatidae
Source: the annotation of a GenBank genome assembly
UGACAUCAUUUCUAAUGGCAAGCAAGGGGUGAGUGUGAAAGGGUUAAACGGUUGCUUUAUGUAUUCUGGCAGAUAAGUUCCUUUCCCCCUAAAGACUUUGAAUUGGUUGCUGAAAGAUGAUAUAAGUCAGACCUACAUGAUCUUGGAAGCUCACGUCCAAAAACAAUCUUUAUGUUGGUCUUAAGCGGCUUAAAAACACAGAGCGAAUGCACGAUAAAUGCAAGUGUU